Molecule: ribosomal RNA, 579 nt
Filed under: Debaryomyces sp.
Lineage: Eukaryota; Fungi; Ascomycota; Pichiomycetes; Serinales; Debaryomycetaceae
Description: partial large subunit ribosomal RNA
Rfam family: Eukaryotic large subunit ribosomal RNA
Source: RNAcentral
GGAAAAGAAACCAACAGGGAUUGCCUUAGUAACGGCGAGUGAAGCGGCAAAAGCUCAAAUUUGAAAUCUGGCACCUUCGGUGUCCGAGUUGUAAUUUGAAGAAGGUAACUUUGGAGUUGGCUCUUGUCUAUGUUCCUUGGAACAGGACGUCACAGAGGGUGAGAAUCCCGUGCGAUGAGAUGCCCAAUUCUAUGUAAAGUGCUUUCGAAGAGUCGAGUUGUUUGGGAAUGCAGCUCUAAGUGGGUGGUAAAUUCCAUCUAAAGCUAAAUAUUGGCGAGAGACCGAUAGCGAACAAGUACAGUGAUGGAAAGAUGAAAAGAACUUUGAAAAGAGAGUGAAAAAGUACGUGAAAUUGUUGAAAGGGAAGGGCUUGAGAUCAGACUUGGUAUUUUGCGAUCCUUUCCUUCUUGGUUGGGUUCCUCGCAGCUUACUGGGCCAGCAUCGGUUUGGAUGGUAGGAUAAUGACUAAGGAAUGUGGCUCUACUUCGGUGGAGUGUUAUAGCCUUGGUUGAUACUGCCUGUCUAGACCGAGGACUGCGUCUUUUGACUAGGAUGUUGGCAUAAUGAUCUUAAGCCACC